GAUGAACGCUGACAGAAUGCUUAACACAUGCAAGUCGAUGGGGAAGUGGUGCUUUCACCCUGGUCACCAUGGCGGACGGGUGAGUAACGCGUAAGGAACUUACCUGCGGGACCGGGAUAACAGCAGGAAACUGCUGACAAGACCGGAUAAGGUCAUUAAGCUGCAUAGCUGAGUGAUGAAAGGAGCCGCCUGCGGAGAGCCUUGCGUGCUAUUAGCUAGUUGGGGGGGUAACGGCCCACCAAGGCGAAGAUAGUUAGCCGGCCUGAGAGGGUGGACGGCCACAAGGGGAAUGAGAGACGGCCCUGACUCCUACGGGAGGCAGCAGUGGGGAAUAUUGGACAAUGGGGGCAAGCCUGAUCAAGCACUUCUGUGUGCACGAAGACGGUUUUCGGAGUGUAAAGUGCUUUCAGCAGGGAAGAAGGAAGUGACGGUACCUGCAGAAGAAGCGACGGCUAACUACGUG
Molecule: ribosomal RNA, 463 nt
Filed under: uncultured bacterium
Lineage: Bacteria
Description: partial 16S ribosomal RNA
Rfam family: Bacterial small subunit ribosomal RNA
Source: RNAcentral